Molecule: non-coding RNA, 292 nt
Organism: Pelobates cultripes (western spadefoot toad)
Lineage: Eukaryota; Metazoa; Chordata; Amphibia; Anura; Pelobatidae
Source: the annotation of a GenBank genome assembly
GGGACGCAUACAAGGUCCGGUGGAACGCAAGCCAGACGGACCCGCGAUAAUCUAUACCAGUAAUUGUGUUCACAUGCUGGUGCCAACAACGAGAUCUUUUGGAUAAUUCCACCACCCUUUCCACCAAUGAACGUUAUCCGGAGUUCAGCUGCAACUGAUUGAUCUUCAAUCAACUCCAUCUGAAAUAUGUAUAGAAUGGGACUUGGGGGGGGGGGAGAGGGAAUCGUUUAUAUGCAUGUUCUUUUCAUGUACUACUGUUCAUUUUGUUUUUGAUAAAGUCCACUGAUCUUAC